GAAAAUCUUUCCUCUAUUUAUUUUUAAUAAAUAUGCAAGUAAGAAGACAUUGAAGUUUUAUUAGAUGUUUCCUUUGGUAUUUUUGUUUUGAUUUGAAAAUGCUUAAGAUACUUAGAAAAUUAUCGAAUCGUACACUGCAGCAGAAAGUAGUAAAAGUAACUUAAACUUGCAAGUCUUGUGUGUUAUCAGUGGCACCAAAUGUAUCCAUGAAACUGCUCUGCUCAGGAUGAUGGACAAAGGAACUCAUCUUCACCAUCAGCACCGGAUUCUUCCCCAGCCUCCACUGAGCAUACCUGUUGGCAAUCCUCCUGAUUUCUAUAGCAAAUGAAUUUUUAACAAUAUCCCAUAAGGAUUUGCAGUAGAAUAUACAAGUAGCCAAAAUUUUCAACAAAGCCUUUGUAGAUAAAAGUGAGUCUCUGGGUUAAUGGUAAGAGUCCCAUGAAAGGAAAUUUGCCAUGGACUUCCCAAAAAUGAGACUGCUCUUUUCCACUAAGAGAGACUAAUAAUGGCCUUUGAAACAUUAACUAUUUACUUAAAUUUAGAGAAAUCGGUGUUACCAAAAACUUUCAGCAAAUAAAAUUGAAUCUACUUCAGAGAACAGUGGUACUGGCUGAAAACCAUAGUUUACAUUCCAUCUUCAAAGUGAGAUAAUGCAGGAAUGCCAAAAAUUCAGCAGAGCCUUCUCAAGUAACAAUCUUGUCCUGAAGAAACCAUUGGGAUUUUGAGCUGUGGAAUUUUCCAUCCAUUUAUCCUCUCAUUAUCUAUCUUUUUUGCUUCAAAUGUCAAUUGACUCCUCUCACUCAUAGUUGUACAAAUUACAGGGCUUUUUUUUAAUUGUCAUAAAACAUAUACAUUAUUCAUCUAUUCAGUUUCAUCUGAAGAGAAUCCAACAAAGAAGAAAUUUUAUUUUCCAAUAAAAUAUUAAAGCUGCUUUACCCCACAAGAGACAGAGCAGAAAUUCCAUCCAUGAUCUAUGAUCCAGGCUUGAAGAAAGAACUCCUCCGGGGAACAUGCUGAACUUGUGGCAGGGGGAAAGCAGAGUGCCAACUGCCAUGGCCCUUAAAGCAUUUGCCUGGAACUUCUACUCAGACAUGGCUUACAUCACGUCCUUUCACUCCAUUGGCCAAAGCAAGUCACAUGGCCAAGUGAGAAGGAUAGAUAGAGUCCUUCCUCAGGGAAUUACUAUAAAUCGUAUGGCUACCUUGCUACCAGCAGGCAUUAUACAACCUUUAAAGGGUACAGUGAGUAGUUGUGAAAAAUACUGUAAUACAAUAUUCCAUGGAUACCAUGUUCUCUGCUUUUGUAAUCAACAGGUAGGGUUUCUGUUUUCGUUUCCAACAAACAUACUAACACUUGCUUUUUAUCAUUUCCAUAAAUUAUUUGUUUCAGAGGCAACAGGCUGCUGGAGAAAGUAUUUAAAUAUUCCCUGAAGUUCCCAGAAACUUUCCUUUUCUGGGGGAAAUGCAACAAAUACUAAACAUUCAUGACCCAUUCUAAUAUUGUUCUUCCAAAAUUAUCAUGGCCACACCAGGCUGAUUUAAAUACAUUAUUGUAGACCCUUAGAUUUUUGCUAUGUAGUAAUACUUCAAAGGAAACAAACAGCAUAAAUGCCCAGAGUGGGUUCAUUUUGUUAAACAAUGGUUUCGAAUUUUCCCAUUGUGGGUAUUACAGUCUAAGUAGAAGGAAAUUCAAUUAGAAGUGUCUGUGCUUUAUCUAAUGCUCAGCUGUCACCAUCUUGAAAUUCUUCAUAGUUUUUGAACAAAUGAUCCACAUUUUCAUUUCGCACUGGACUCCGCAAAUUAUAUAGACAGUCUGGCUUAGAAUAGAUAUUCCCUCUUCUGGAACAUUUCCCAAUACUUCCGGCGAAACCAGGUACCUCUCCUAGGUGCUCACAUAAGGCCCUGUGACUAUGGCCCUUGACGCCCUUUACUGAAAUUUAUAGACUGUCUUCCCGUCUGGCCCGUGUGUUCCUUGAAAGCAGGAACAAUGACUAAUUCAGCAUUGUAUUUUCAGCAUAUACUAUGCAACAAAUAUUUGAUGAAUAAAUUAGUAUCAGACAUUAGUGUACCUUUGUAAAAUUCCCAGUUUGUGAAACUUUUUCUCUGGCAGCUGAAAAACUGCUCAUUGCUGCUCUGGUGUUUUUCCUGUGCUCUUUGCCAGGCACUGCCAAGUAAACUGACAGCAGCAGAGUGCCAUUUUCCUACACCGUCAGGCUGCUGUGACUUUCCCUAGAGGGACCUGAGCCUUCAGCUGGAGUCUCACAUCACUUGGAUCUGUCCCCCAGAUUGACUUUUUUCCUCCCAUACAAUAUAGAAAAUCACAUACAGUAUUUCACUUAUGUUUAAUACUUGAAAUCUGUGGCUACUGCCAAAAGCAUAGGACAAAUGCAAAUUACCAUAGUCCAAAGGAAAAACUAGAAAUUUACAAAGAAUGCAUUUUUUCACAUCCCACACAGUAAUUAAUGGGUCUAUUUUCAAUUAAUAAGGUAUUUCUGAUGCACGAGAACUAAGUUCAAAAUAAAUUUCAGCAAACCAUAAAAGGAUCUACAUCUCUUUAUAUAUACUUAUCUUUGAAUAAAAAUAAACUGGAGCAUGCGUUACUCAUGUAAAAACAAAUCUGGACAGUUAACCAAUAGCCAAGUUGGGGAAAAUAUCUGUAAAAUCAGCACUCUGUAGACAGACGUAUGCAGUACGGUAAAGCACACAGACUUGAAGUACAAACAUCUGUGAGUUCAAAUCCUGACUGCUAUUUACUGGCUGUGUGAUCUUGGGUCAUUUAUUGAAACCUCUCUGAGCCAGUUUCCUCAUUUGAAAACUGUGGAUAAUAAUGUCUGUCACCUCAUAGGUCUGUUACAGAGAUUAAGAAGAAGAUAUAUAUGCAGAGCACGUAGCACAGAGCCUGAAACUCAGAAAGCCUCAACAAGUCAUAUUCACACCCUUCCAGCAGCACUAAUGCCCUAAUUCCCUCACAUUCCCUCCUCUGCCUCUGUCCCAUUCACAUUCUAUUCCUCUCUCCCCCUUCUCCAGAUUAAUCUCUAGUUACAGAUUUGGUUAAUCCCCAAUGCACAAAAGUCAAUAAAUUAUCUUUUUAAAGGAAUAUUCUCAAGCCUUUGGUUUUUGUGGAUUUAUUUCUUCAGUAAUGGAAAAUUUUCUGUACUGUUUUUUGAAAAUAUAUGAAUAAACAUACAUCAAGGAUGCCCUCUCUGACAUCAGUAAGUAACUCAGAGAUGUCAAAUAUGUAAAAAUGAAGACUUGCUUUGCUUUACCGGAAAAGAAAUGGUAUCACCAAUAACUUUCUGAUAAGAGGUGCAUUGUAUACAACAUGAACCUCUUAGAUCAUCUGAAGGGAACUGUUUUCUAUGACAUUUUUCCUCUCUAGUUACCUCAACAUUCCUCAUAAAUAAU
This 3404-nucleotide long non-coding RNA is filed under the name Homo sapiens (human). RNAcentral describes it as "HSALNT0367854". Lineage: Eukaryota; Metazoa; Chordata; Mammalia; Primates; Hominidae. The record is from RNAcentral.